GACAACAGCUAGCUCUCUGCAACUCUCACAUGGUUGCUCACUGACGCUAAGCAGGGCUGCGCCCAGUCAGUACCUGACUGGGAGACCACAUGGGAAAGCUAGGUUGCUGCUGCUA
Ribosomal RNA from Danio rerio (zebrafish), 115 nucleotides. Lineage: Eukaryota; Metazoa; Chordata; Actinopteri; Cypriniformes; Danionidae. The record is from Ensembl.